CUCUUAGCCAAUCACACGGCUAAGCGGCAGCGACGGCGUGAGGUGCGGCCUCUUGAGGCAGAGGAGUGGGGCGGGCUGUGUGACGGGCUUCGGCCACAGCCAAUCGUAAGUGAAGACGGCGAGCGGGGUGCCCCUGCGUCAGAACAAAUGCGGCAAAUCGCUUGGGAGGGAGGGGAAGCGCUCCUCCACCAGCGGGCAUUUUUGCGCUCACGCGCGACUGCUCCAGGCUGUCAUUGCUCUCCUGACCGUCUACGAGAAGACUGGGAAACUUGAGAGGGUGCGUUCAGAGAGCAAAAUAGAGCGCCCCUUCCCUUCCCUCACCUCUCUGCUGGCCAAUGAAGAACUGAAGCGAUUGGUGGGGCGCCGGAGGGCUGGGGCGCGAAAGAGCGCCAGGUGUUACACCACUGAAAGGGGGCGCAGCAGAGGUCAGGUGGCGAGCAAGCAGUGUGAUUGACGGGCGAGGGGCCCGGGGAAGGCGAGAAGGUGAGCUCGUCCAAUCGUUGCGAGGUCUGGACACCUGGGCGGGUCUUGGCGCCUUACUGGCCCCAAACCGCAAAAUUGGUAGUUGCGGAAUAAAUUUGUAGCUCUUGGGAGGUUCGGACUCCGCAACUCCAGAGAGCUACUCUCGCGUGGGGUUUGGGCAGUCUAGCAUCUGCUGCUUCAAAGAGUUCUGCAAGUCCACGCCCUCUAAAAAGAGAUUUCUCAUUCCCAAUUUAGUAUCCUGCUAAUUUUCACCCCUCCUUGAGCCAAAGGCCCUCAACUACUCCAACGAGAAGAGUACAAAUUCAUUGGUCAGUGGUGUGUGGAUAUGGAGGCUUGCCAUGUACUCUUACCGGAAUCUCUUUCUUGGAGAUUCCGUCUAGAUUUUGAAUUUCUUAAGGACGAGGACUGGUCAUCUUAGUUUUUCGUGCAGUGCUUUCCAUACGGUGGCCGUUAAUAAUUAUUAAUCUGAACAGUCAGCCUCCCUUUGCGCCAAUGGACCCAAAUCUGUAAUCCCCUCCCUCGAGCUCCA
RNAcentral lists this long non-coding RNA (1012 nucleotides) under Homo sapiens (human). RNAcentral's name for it is "non-protein coding lnc-TMEM206-5:14". The record is from RNAcentral. Lineage: Eukaryota; Metazoa; Chordata; Mammalia; Primates; Hominidae.